This 4692-nucleotide long non-coding RNA is filed under the name Cucumis sativus (cucumber). RNAcentral's name for it is "long non-coding RNA (CSAT_LNC000041)". The record is from RNAcentral. Lineage: Eukaryota; Viridiplantae; Streptophyta; Magnoliopsida; Cucurbitales; Cucurbitaceae.
CGCCACCGCGAACGGCAGGAGAAGUCGUGGGUUCCCUGGAAUUCCCCGUGGCCGUCAGAUCCAGAAGACUUUCAACAAUAUUAAGAUCACCAUAUUGUGUGGAUUCGUCACCAUCCUUGUUCUUCGUGGUACAAUCGGUAUUGGCAACCUUGGUAGCUCCGAGGCUGACGCUGUGAACCAGAAUAUUAUUGAAGAAACCAACCGGAUCCUUGCCGAGAUUCGAUCUGACAGCGACCCCAACGACCCGGAUGAUCCUGCUGAGACCCAAAUCAACCCCAAUGUCACUUACACGCUCGGACCCAAGAUUGUUAACUGGAAUCAGGAACGAAAGGUUUGGCUCGAUCAAAACCCAGAAUUUCCGAAUUAUGUCAUAAAAAAGAGCUAGGAUCUUGCUUGUUACUGGUUCUCCCCCAAAACCCUGUGACAACCCAAUUGGGGAUCAUUAUUUGUUGAAGGCAAUCAAGAAUAAAAUUGACUAUUGCAGGCUUCAUGGGAUUGAGAUUAUAUACAAUAUAGCUCAUUUAGAUAAGGAACUUGCUGGGUAUUGGGCCAAGUUGCCGUUGAUCCGGCGAUUGAUGUUGUCCCACCCUGAGGUUGAGUGGAUUUGGUGGAUGGAUAGUGAUGCGUUGUUUACUGAUAUGGUAUUUGAGAUUCCCCUGGAAAAAUAUGAUAACUAUAAUUUGGUUGUUCAUGGUUACCCUGAUUUGAUGUUCAAUCAAAAGUCCUGGAUUGCACUCAACACAGGAAGCUUUUUGUUUAGGAAUUGUCAGUGGUCUUUGGAUUUACUGGAUGCUUGGGCUCCAAUGGGACCAAAGGGUCCUAUUCGAGAAGAGGCCGGGAAGAUUUUGACUGCAAACUUGAAGGGAAGGCCAGCAUUUGAAGCUGAUGAUCAGUCAGCUUUGAUAUAUUUAUUGCUUUCUCAGAAAGAUCAAUGGAUGGAUAAGGUGUUUCUUGAGAAUUCAUACUAUUUGCAUGGUUACUGGGCUGGCUUAGUCGAUAGGUAUGAGGAAAUGGUUGAGAAAUAUCACCCAGGGUUAGGCGACGAAAGGUGGCCAUUCGUGACGCAUUUUGUCGGUUGCAAACCUUGUGGUAGCUAUGGAGACUAUCCAGUAGAAAGGUGUUUGAGUAGCAUGGAGAGGGCUUUCAAUUUUGCUGACAACCAAGUUCUCAAACUGUAUGGAUUUCGCCAUAGGGGCCUUUUAAGCCCCAAAAUCAAGCGAAUCAGGAAUGAGACAGCCACUCCAUUGGAGUCAGUUGAUCAAAACGAUAUUCGGCGGCACGUUCUGCAUCAAACCAAUGGACCUCCUACCAAAUGAGCAAACCACAUCCUUGUGUGAUCUGUCUGUAGGUGUUGUUGUUAUACGUGAAUUCAUAGCAGAUAAAGGCUGGUAAUAUUUCAUACCCUUGUCCGUCUUGCUUCCUUUUCUUGUCAUUCUGAUACUGCUUUUGAGAAAGAUAGAGUGGAAUUCUUUCAUUAACUUUAAAAGAGAUAGUGUUUCAGUAAUUGAGUAUAGGUACUUUGUUUACUGCUCUUUUUGUUUUGAUCUUCUUUUGAGGAGUUGCUAUGUAUUUAGACUUUGCUCAUAUUGAUAUCAAUGUUGUGCAUUCAAAUUUAGACCAUAACUUUGAUGAACUGCCAAAAGUUGGUCUCCAUGUUUCAGUUUCGAAGGAAAUAAGAGGGAGAACUCUUUGAUCACAUGGUUUGGAUAAUUCAAGUGCUAAUGAAAACAUUUCUGAUCUUAGGUAUCUGCAAUGUCUUGUUAUAUUUUGUGUGUGUUUUGCUGCCCUUUUUUUAUACUCUUUGCAAAAAAGAAAAAGUUGGUCUGCAUAUACUCUAGGAGUAUCCAAGCACAACCAGCAUAGAACAACCCCUCGAUUAUUCUUAUCACAGUGGUUGCUUGGAAACUCCUUGGAUUUUGAUAUUCUAAGCAAGCAGCCACUGUGGCAUCUGAACACAGUUUGUUUUUUUUACUUUCCAUCCAGCAGUUUGGUUGUUUGAAAGUUUUCAGGAUUAUAUGCCAUUGAGGAUCUCACCUUGGAAAGAUGAGGAGACCUCAUGUCUUUGUUAAUCCCCGUGUUUAUCUAAUAUGAUAUGAUAUCAGAGUCCUAAAGUCCAAAAGAAUAUUUGAUCCAACUCAAAAAGGUAUAUCUUGAGAAGAUAUGUUGAGGAUCCCACUCCCAAAAGAUAGAAUUCUUAAUUUUUAUUUUUCAAGGCUAAAAAUACUAACGUUUCUUUUAAAAGUUCAAGAAUAUUUGAAACAAAUAUUAAAGAUUUGUAUUCAUAUACGGACAACAAUAGUAUUUUCAAAACAUUUUGAAUAUUUGGGACAUUUUGUUUAAUUUAGCCAUAAUUUUCUUAAUAAUAAAGUGUGUUUUCUUAACAAUAGAGUGUGUGUGACCUGUGAAGUAAGAAAAUGAAAACUCACAACAUUUAUCUAUCUUUUAACUCACCUUCUAGUGAUUUAAUCUUUGCUAAAAUCCUUCCAAACUUUUCAUAUUAUAUUUCCAUUCCUUGCAACGAGACGUUUGAUUAGUGAUAAAAGUAAUGAGUUGAGUUGAGUUAAUAAUAAUUAUGAGACAUUUGAUUAGUGAUAAAAGUAAUGAGUUGAGUUGAGUUAAUAAUAAUUAUAAGAAGUUAACGUAAAUAGCGAGAUAGUAAACCUCUUUAAUUAUUAAUAAAUCAAACAAGAUGUUGAUUUUUUCUUUACCCACCCAACACAAUUCUCCCAAUUGUCAAACACCCUAUAAAAGAUAUUAUAUGUAUUUUCAUAUUUGAAAAAAAGAUAUAUGUACACAUUACACAUUAUAAAAUAUUACAUAUUUUUAAUAAAAAAUAAUUAUAAACGGUUGAAAAUAGUUACAAAAUAUAUAAUAUUUCAAAAUUUAUCAAUGAUAAACAUUAUUAACACGAGCCUAUCAAUUUUGUUUGUAUCUAUUAUUAAUAGAGUUCUAAAAUAUUUCUACACAUAUAUAUAUAUUGCUUCAUUCUUGCCAUAUUUAAAAAUAUCAAUUUUACAUUUUACAUUUUUUCUCUUCAAAAUAUUAAAACCAUACCAUCUUAAAAAUUUUAUUUUUAAAAUACAAUUUUGUGUGAAGAAAAAAAAGAGAAGGAAAUUGGAGGAAGUUAAGUAUAGAUCUCACUUUUAUUUCUUUAUUUCUUAAAAAUAUUUUAUUAAAGUAAUAUCAACUUUAAAAAAAAAUAAACAAAAAAGAUAACAAGAAAAUAACAGUUUUUGAAAAUUUUAAAAUUAAAAAAAUAGAGUAAUGUCUUUAUUCUCUUUAUCUUUUUAAUCAACAUGUUAAAAAGAAAAGAAAAAUUAAUUUUAUCAAAUUAAAUCCGAAUUUAAACAAUAGCUGUAAGUACUUUUGCCUACAAAAUACAAAUUAAUGAAUAACACUAAAAUUUCCUUUUCAUUCCUUUACUUUAAAUCUCAAUUUCACUUUUCUUUUUCUUUUUCUUUCGAUUGUUCAUUGUUUUCUACUUUAAUAACAAAAUAAAUCAAAAUAUUUAUAAAUAUAGUAAAAUUUAUAAAUUUAUAAAUAUUUAACAGCAUCAUUUAAAAUAUUUUUUCAAAAAUUAAUUCUCAUACUAAAUUUAGAAUGAUUUGUUUUUAUCCAACAUUUCAAAAUAUAAUAAUAAUAAUAACAUAAAUAUAUUUUUAAAGUGUUUAUAUUUAGUUGGUAUUGUUAUUGUAAUGAUAAUAGAUAGGUAUAUGAAUAAUAAUUGAAGUAUGUAAUAACAUUUAGAAAUUUUUUGUAUAAUUAUUAUAUUUGCAAAUGUUGGAAAUAUUUAUUUCUGUUUAUGGAAAUUGGCAUUAAAAAAAUUCCCUAAAUUAAAAGAAGAAAUCUUAAUAAUUAUUAGAAGAGAAUGGAUCCAAUCAGAAAUGAGAGAAAUUCAUUUUAGUUUUAUUAUUGCAAAGCAUAAAAAACAUCGAAUCAUUCAAAGGAAUGGCGUUUGAUCGAUCCAUAGACGGUCGGUGCUGUUUGCUGAGAUAACUCUCUUCUUCCUUCCUUAGCUGUUCCUCAACCAUUACCCUCAAUCAAUUGACCUUUCGUUACCUAUAACUAUAACUCUAUAUCCAUUACCAUUACUCCUCUAUUCUUCUCGCUCCACGAUUCUUUGUUUUUCUGUUUUUUUUUUUUUUUUUUCCAUUUCUUUCUUCAUCUCUUCGAUUCCCGAUCUUGCUGACAUAAUUGAAUUGGUGGGGGUGGUGGAGAGAGCUGUUGGAUAGAGGGAAACCCCAUUUCCCUCAUGACCCAUUAGCUCCAAAUCCUGCAUUAUCUCUGCUCAGAAGAGAGUUUUGUAGAAAGAGAAGGGAGAAGAAACAUGGGACUAGAUAAUAUCUCUGCUCAGAAGAGAGCUGGUGGUGGAGGGAAUAGUUUACCCACCACUGCUGCCACCGCCAACGCCAGGAGAAGUCGUGGGUUCCCUGGAAUUCCCCGUGGCCGUCAGAUCCAGAAAACUUUCAACAAUAUUAAGAUCACCAUAUUGUGUGGAUUCGUUACCAUCCUUGUUCUUCGUGGUACAAUCGGUAUUGGCAACCUUGGUAGCUCCGAGGCUGACGCUGUGAACCAGAAUAUCAUCGAAGAAACCAACCGGAUCCUCGCUGAGAUUCGGUCUGACGGCGACCCUAACGACCCGGAUGAUCCUGCCGAGACCCAAAUCAACCCUAAUGUCACUUACACGCUCGG